RNAcentral lists this long non-coding RNA (214 nucleotides) under Mytilus galloprovincialis (Mediterranean mussel). The record is from RNAcentral. Lineage: Eukaryota; Metazoa; Mollusca; Bivalvia; Mytilida; Mytilidae.
AAAAUUUGACAAAGUAUUUACUUUGACCAUUUAACAAAAAUAUAAAAAUAUCAAAAAUUUUGAACCAACCAUUUUAUCAGAAAAAUUACACUGGUUAUAUAGCAGUUUGACAAAUACCAAUUUUGAUCAUUGAGAAACUUUAUGUUCCCUUUACAACACAACGUAAUUAAAACGUUUAGCUGACUUUAAAGAGUUAUCUCCCUUUAGUGUUAGG